Long non-coding RNA from Ctenopharyngodon idella (grass carp), 1097 nucleotides. RefSeq lists it as uncharacterized. The record is from RefSeq and is a predicted model, not a curated record. The transcript is spliced from 2 exons. Lineage: Eukaryota; Metazoa; Chordata; Actinopteri; Cypriniformes; Xenocyprididae.
UGCAAAAAACAACAACAACAACAAAAAAUUUUAUUAGAAAAAGAAAAUAUUAAAUGUUUUUCAUUACAGUUUAUCAAACUUUGUGUGUUUGCAGAGGAAUAUUAUCACAUAAAAAAGACCUGGAUUGUUUUUGCCACAACUAUCCUUUUUAGUAAAAUUCUGCAUUUCAUACUUUAUGUAGAGAAAAGUUGGCUCACCAAAAAUAGAAAAAUAUUUAUUUUAUGUUCUCACCACAGGUGGUGCUUCGAGCCUAAUGGCUCUUCAUCAGACAAUGAACACAAGAGCUGCAUCCGAAAUCACAUACUUCCCUACUAUAGAGUAGGUAAAAAACAGUGUGAGACAAAAGAAGUGUGUCUGAAUUCACAGUACUCAUAAAACAGUAUCAAAACGUACCCGGAUGACCUUCUACUUCUGGCGAGAUUCUGAAGUUUGCAUAUGAUGGACACUUUACUAUCCCAUGAGGCCACGGGAGAGGAUAUAUGAAUGGCAGUGAAGUAAUGUAACUGGUGCUGGUAGGUCACAUGAUAAUGACAACAUGGCGAAUGUUUUAUGUCCAGAUUACAUUCAUACUAUAUAGAACAUAUAUAGAGCGGCUGUGAAGUAAUUACUUAUUCAAAAUAAUUACCUACUCAAUAGAGUAUGUGAUUUUGGACGCAGCCAUACACUGAUAAGCCCUUAUACACACAAACCUAGAUCACAUGAUCCCACAUGACAAAAAAAAAGGGCAACAAACAAAUCACAUAACUAGAAUAAAAGUGAAAACAUCAAUUAACUGAAAACAAACAUAUACAUAUCAAGAAAUACCUGACUGCAAAAAAAUAUGAAUCAAUCAAAAAAUUUCAAUCAGAAAAUGGCAAGAAAACGAAAGAAAAUACCAACAACAUAACGAACAUAAUGCAAUAAAUCCACACAUACUGAUCAAUAACAUAAUUAAAGAAAAGGCCGAAUAUCAAAUUCUUCAGUGAGACCAUUAGGUUAUAAUGUAUUCAAAGUGUAAAUCCGUUUUAAAAUCUUUUUUUAUAUAUAUCACCCCCUCUUCCAGGUAGUUUAACAGCUUCAAUGCCAACGUACUGCAAAGUUGAAAUCUAAUGUCUCAA